Callithrix jacchus (white-tufted-ear marmoset) is the source of this 572-nucleotide non-coding RNA. The record is from RefSeq and is a predicted model, not a curated record. Lineage: Eukaryota; Metazoa; Chordata; Mammalia; Primates; Cebidae.
UCUUCUCUCUUCCUCGCGAGGCUCCCGUUGGCCAGUGCUGUCCUGAACCCGAGGAACGCUUUUGCUCUUUGCAAUUCCCACAUUCGAAACAGAGUCUCACAACUCAGCCACGUUUUCUGCUGAGCCAGCCACUGGGAACAAACACCAAAAGACCUGGAGCCACAGAAGCACUCAUACAUGAGCCAAGAAGAAAAAAAUCGUGUGGCAGCCUCCCAGCUCUGCUCUGCAACCAUGCACUUCCUGUUUACUGCCCAAGACCUGAUGAACCUGUACUGAGACUGCCCAGGGCACGUUAGAGUCACCACAACCCCUGCUAGAUGACUAUUUUGAUAUGGAGGCGAAAGAAUUGGUCCCCUCAGCCCUUGGGGAUAAAGUUAGGACCAUCAGUGGCCAGUGUUAUGCCCUUGCUCAAGGAUUUGGAACUGGGAACCAAAAGGGAAAGCGCACCUGACUUGGCAAUGUCCGCACAAACAGCCUCUCAACACUGGGACGUUUAUAGUGAAGGACGCAUCACCAAAGAGAGUUGUCAUUCAUUGGGAUGGCCUGGCCGUAAUAAACUGUCCUGAAUGGAA